GGCUCAGUAACACGUGGAGAACGUGCCCUUAGGCGGAGGAUAAUCUCGGGAAAUUGAGGAUAAUACUCCAUAGGUCACGGGGUCUGGAACGACCCGUGGCCGAAAGCCCCGGCGCCUAAGGAUCGCUCUGCGGCUUAUCAGGUCGUAGUGGGUGUAACGUACCCCCUAGCCGACGACGAGUAUGGGCCUUGAGAGAGGGAGCCCAGAGUUGGAUUCUGAGACACGAAUCCAGGCCCUACGGGGCGCAGCAGUCGCGAAAACUUCACACUGGGGGCAACCCCGAUGAGGGAAUUCCUAGUGCCAGGGCCUCUGGUCCUGGCUUUUCUCCGGCGUAGACGACCGGAGGAAUAAGGGCUGGGUAAGACGGGCGCCAGCCGCCGCGGUAAUACCUGCAGCCCGAGUGGUGGUCGAUUUUAUUGAGUCUAAAACGUUCGUAGCCGGCCCGGUAAAUCCCUGGGUAAAUCGGGAAGCUCAACUUCCCGAAUUCCGGGGAGACUGCCGGGCUUGGGACCGGGAGAGGCUAGAGGUACUUCUGGGGUAGGGGUAAAAUCCUGUAAUCCUGGAAGGACCACCGGUGGCGAAGGCGUCUAGCUAGAACGGAUCCGACGGUGAGGGACGAAGCCCUGGGUCGCAAACGGGAUUAGAUACCCCGGUAGUCCAGGGUGUAAACGCUGCAGACUUGGUGUUGGGGGCCCUUCGGGGGCGUCCAGUGCCGGAGAGAAGUUGUUAAGUCUGCUACUUGGGGAGUACGUCCGCAAGGAUGAAACUUAAAGGAAUUGGCGGGGGAGCACAAUCUCCAAGGUUC
RNAcentral lists this ribosomal RNA (805 nucleotides) under uncultured archaeon. Its description in RNAcentral is "bacterial SSU rRNA". It matches the Rfam family "Archaeal small subunit ribosomal RNA", at positions 87 to 893 of the family's 1478-position model. The record is from RNAcentral.